Molecule: small nucleolar RNA, 105 nt
Filed under: Olea europaea subsp. europaea
Lineage: Eukaryota; Viridiplantae; Streptophyta; Magnoliopsida; Lamiales; Oleaceae
Description: Plant small nucleolar RNA R71
Rfam family: Plant small nucleolar RNA R71
About the family: R71 is a member of the C/D box family of snoRNAs containing the C (UGAUGA) and D (CUGA) box motifs. Multiple nearly identical copies of this snoRNA have been identified in Arabidopsis, and it is thought to function as a 2'-O-ribose methylation guide for 18S ribosomal RNA.
Source: Rfam by way of RNAcentral
AUGUCAAGGGUGGGACACUUCUUGAAAUAGCCCUUGAAUCUUUUCAUGCUUCUGGAUAGCUCUCAACAUUCUUUUGCUUGAAAGUGGGUAUCUCAUUUCUGAUUU